Molecule: ribosomal RNA, 1465 nt
Filed under: uncultured bacterium
Lineage: Bacteria
Description: bacterial SSU rRNA
Rfam family: Bacterial small subunit ribosomal RNA
Source: RNAcentral
AACGCUAGCUACAGGCUUAACACAUGCAAGUUGAGGGGCAGCAUGGUCUUAGCUUGCUAAGGCCGAUGGCGACCGGCGCACGGGUGAGUAACACGUAUCCAACCUGCCGUCUACUCUUGGACAGCCUUCUGAAAGGAAGAUUAAUACAAGAUGGCAUCAUGAGUCCGCAUGUUCACAUGAUUAAAGGUAUUCCGGUAGACGAUGGGGAUGCGUUCCAUUAGAUAGUAGGCGGGGUAACGGCCCACCUAGUCUUCGAUGGAUAGGGGUUCUGAGAGGAAGGUCCCCCACAUUGGAACUGAGACACGGUCCAAACUCCUACGGGAGGCAGCAGUGAGGAAUAUUGGUCAAUGGGCGAGAGCCUGAACCAGCCAAGUAGCGUGAAGGAUGACUGCCCUAUGGGUUGUAAACUUCUUUUAUAAAGGAAUAAAGUCGGGUAUGCAUACCCGUUUGCAUGUACUUUAUGAAUAAGGAUCGGCUAACUCCGUGCCAGCAGCCGCGGUAAUACGGAGGAUCCGAGCGUUAUCCGGAUUUAUUGGGUUUAAGGGAGCGUAGAUGGAUGUUUAAGUCAGUUGUGAAAGUUUGCGGCUCAACCGUAAAAUUGCAGUUGAUACUGGAUAUCUUGAGUGCAGUUGAGGCAGGCGGAAUUCGUGGUGUAGCGGUGAAAUGCUUAGAUAUCACGAAGAACUCCGAUUGCGAAGGCAGCCUGCUAAGCUGCAACUGACAUUGAGGCUCGAAAGUGUGGGUAUCAAACAGGAUUAGAUACCCUGGUAGUCCACACGGUAAACGAUGAAUACUCGCUGUUUGCGAUAUACGGCAAGCGGCCAAGCGAAAGCGUUAAGUAUUCCACCUGGGGAGUACGCCGGCAACGGUGAAACUCAAAGGAAUUGACGGGGGCCCGCACAAGCGGAGGAACAUGUGGUUUAAUUCGAUGAUACGCGAGGAACCUUACCCGGGCUUAAAUUGCAGAUGAAUUACGGUGAAAGCCGUAAGCCGCAAGGCAUCUGUGAAGGUGCUGCAUGGUUGUCGUCAGCUCGUGCCGUGAGGUGUCGGCUUAAGUGCCAUAACGAGCGCAACCCUUGUUGUCAGUUACUAACAGGUCAUGCUGAGGACUCUGACAAGACUGCCAUCGUAAGAUGUGAGGAAGGUGGGGAUGACGUCAAAUCAGCACGGCCCUUACGUCCGGGGCUACACACGUGUUACAAUGGGGGGUACAGAGGGCCGCUACCACGCGAGUGGAUGCCAAUCCCAAAAACCUCUCUCAGUUCGGACUGGAGUCUGCAACCCGACUCCACGAAGCUGGAUUCGCUAGUAAUCGCGCAUCAGCCACGGCGCGGUGAAUACGUUCCCGGGCCUUGUACACACCGCCCGUCAAGCCAUGGGAGCCGGGGGUACCUGAAGUGCGUAACCGCGAGGAGCGCCCUAGGGUAAAACUGGUGACUGGGGCUAAGUCGUAACAAGGUAGCCG